This 261-nucleotide ribosomal RNA is filed under the name Halomonas koreensis. RNAcentral's name for it is "partial 16S ribosomal RNA". It matches the Rfam family "Bacterial small subunit ribosomal RNA", at positions 1 to 260 of the family's 1533-position model. Lineage: Bacteria; Pseudomonadati; Pseudomonadota; Gammaproteobacteria; Oceanospirillales; Halomonadaceae. The record is from RNAcentral.
AAACUGAAGAGUUUGAUCAUGGCUCAGAUUGAACGCUGGCGGCAGGCCUAACACAUGCAAGUCGAGCGGAAACGAUGGGAGCUUGCUCCCAGGCGUCGAGCGGCGGACGGGUGAGUAAUGCAUAGGAAUCUGCCCGGUAGUGGGGGAUAACCUGGGGAAACUCAGGCUAAUACCGCAUACGUCCUACGGGAGAAAGCAGGGGAUCUUCGGACCUUGCGCUAUCGGAUGAGCCUAUGUCGGAUUAGCUAGUUGGUGAGGUAA